Molecule: ribosomal RNA, 467 nt
Filed under: uncultured bacterium
Lineage: Bacteria
Description: partial 16S ribosomal RNA
Rfam family: Bacterial small subunit ribosomal RNA
Source: RNAcentral
GACGAACGCUGGCGGCGUGCUUAACACAUGCAAGUCGAACGGAAAGGCCUCUUUCGGGGGGUACUCGAGUGGCGAACGGGUGAGUAACACGUGAGUAACCUGCCCUUGACUUUGGGAUAACUUCAGGAAACUGGGGCUAAUACCGGAUAGGAGCUCCUGCUGCAUGGUGGGGGUUGGAAAGUUUCGGCGGUUGGGGAUGGACUCGCGGCUUAUCAGCUUGUUGGUGGGGUAGUGGCUUACCAAGGCUUUGACGGGUAGCCGGCCUGAGAGGGUGACCGGCCACAUUGGGACUGAGAUACGGCCCAGACUCCUACGGGAGGCAGCAGUGGGGAAUAUUGCACAAUGGGUGGAAGCCUGAUGCAGCAACGCCGUGUGCGGGAUGACGGCCUUCGGGUUGUAAACCGCUUUCGCUCAUGACGAAGCUUUGUGUGACGGUAGUGGGUAAGGAAGCACCGGCUAACUACGUG